UACGUAGGGUGCGAGCGUUGUCCGGAUUUAUUGGGCGUAAAGAGCUCGUAGGCGGUCUGUCGCGUCGAUCGUGAAAACUUGGGGCUUAACCCUGAGCUUGCGGUCGAUACGGGCAUGACUGUAGUUCGGCAGGGGAGACUGGAAUUCCUGGUGUAGCGGUGAAAUGCGCAGAUAUCAGGAGGAACACCGGUGGCGAAGGCGGGUCUCUGGGCCGAUACUGACGCUGAGGAGCGAAAGCGUGGGGAGCAAACAGG
Molecule: ribosomal RNA, 254 nt
Filed under: uncultured bacterium
Lineage: Bacteria
Description: partial 16S ribosomal RNA
Rfam family: Bacterial small subunit ribosomal RNA
Source: RNAcentral